GAUGAACGCUGGCGGCGUGCUUAACACAUGCAAGUCGAACGGUGAAGGCGGAGCUUGCUCUGCUGGAUCAGUGGCGAACGGGUGAGUAACACGUGAGCAAUCUGCCCCUGACUCUGGGAUAAGCGCUGGAAACGGCGUCUAAUACUGGAUACGAGCUGCGAAGGCAUCUUCAGCAGCUGGAAAGAAUUUCGGUCAGGGAUGAGCUCGCGGCCUAUCAGCUUGUUGGUGAGGUAAUGGCUCACCAAGGCGUCGACGGGUAGCCGGCCUGAGAGGGUGACCGGCCACACUGGGACUGAGACACGGCCCAGACUCCUACGGGAGGCAGCAGUGGGGAAUAUUGCACAAUGGGCGAAAGCCUGAUGCAGCAACGCCGCGUGAGGGACGACGGCCUUCGGGUUGUAAACCUCUUUUAGCAGGGAAGAAGCGAAAGUGACGGGACCUGCAGAAAAAGCGCCGGCUAACUACGU
This 467-nucleotide ribosomal RNA is filed under the name uncultured bacterium. RNAcentral's name for it is "partial 16S ribosomal RNA". It matches the Rfam family "Bacterial small subunit ribosomal RNA", at positions 28 to 506 of the family's 1533-position model. The record is from RNAcentral.